CCUACGGGAGGCAGCAGUGAGGAAUAUUGGUCAAUGGACGAGAGUCUGAACCAGCCAAGUAGCGUGAAGGAUGACUGCCCUAUGGGUUGUAAACUUCUUUUAUAUGGGAAUAAAAUGUUCCACGUGUGGGAUUUUGUAUGUACCAUAUGAAUAAGGAUCGGCUAACUCCGUGCCAGCAGCCGCGGUAAUACGAAGGAUCCGAGCGUUAUCCGGAUUUAUUGGGUUUAAAGGGAGCGUAGGUGGAUUGUUAAGUCAGUUGUGAAAGUUUGCGGCUCAACCGUAAAAUUGCAGUUGAAACUGGCAGUCUUGAGUACAGUAGAGGUGGGCGGAAUUCGUGGUGUAGCGGUGAAAUGCUUAGAUAUCACGAAGAACUCCGAUUGCGAAGGCAGUUCACUGGACUGCAACUGACACUGAGGCUCGAAAGUGUGGGUAUCAAACAGGAUUAGAUACCCGAGUAGUC
This 460-nucleotide ribosomal RNA is filed under the name uncultured bacterium. RNAcentral describes it as "partial 16S ribosomal RNA". It matches the Rfam family "Bacterial small subunit ribosomal RNA", at positions 338 to 795 of the family's 1533-position model. The record is from RNAcentral.